The sequence is a ribosomal RNA, 2506 nucleotides long. It matches the Rfam family "Bacterial large subunit ribosomal RNA".
AGGUAUCGUUAACUGAAUACAUAGGUUAACGAGGCAAACGAGGGGAACUGAAACAUCUAAGUACCCUUAGGAAAAGAAAUCAACCGAGAUUCCCCUAGUAGCGGCGAGCGAACGGGGAGCAGCCCUUAAGCUGUUUAGAAUUUAGUGGAAUCCUUUGGGAAGAGGAGCGAUACAAGGUGAUAGCCCUGUACACGACGGAUUCUUUACAGUGAAAUCGAGUAGGUCGGGACACGUGUUAUCUUGACUGAAUAUGGGGGGACCAUCCUCCAAGGCUAAAUACUCCUAACUGACCGAUAGUGAACCAGUACCGUGAGGGAAAGGCGAAAAGAACCCCUGUGAGGGGAGUGAAAUAGAACCUGAAACCGUAUACGUACAAGCAGUGGGAGCCACUUCGUGUGGUGACUGCGUACCUUUUGUAUAAUGGGUCAGCGACUUAUAUUUAGUAGCAAGGUUAAGUGAAUAACGGAGCCGUAGCGAAAGCGAGUGUUAACUGCGCGUUUAGUUGCUAGGUAUAGACCCGAAACCCGGUGAUCUAGCCAUGGGCAGGUUGAAGGUUGAGUAACAUCAACUGGAGGACCGAACCCACUAACGUUGAAAAGUUAGGGGAUGACCUGUGGCUGGGGGUGAAAGGCCAAUCAAACCGGGAGAUAGCUGGUUCUCCCCGAAAUCUAUUUAGGUAGAGCCUCGGACGAAUUCCAUUGGGGGUAGAGCACUGUUAAGGCUAGGGGGUCAUCCCGACUUACCAACCCUUUGCAAACUCCGAAUACCAAUGAGAACUAUCCGGGAGACACACGGCGGGUGCUAACGUCCGUCGUGGAGAGGGAAACAACCCAGACCGCCAGCUAAGGUCCCAAAAUAUUGCUAAGUGGGAAACGAUGUGGGAAGGCAUAGACAGCUAGGAGGUUGGCUUAGAAGCAGCCACCCUUUAAAGAAAGCGUAAUAGCUCACUAGUCGAGUCGGCCUGCGCGGAAGAUGUAACGGGGCUAAGCAAUAUACCGAAGCUGCGGCAGCAUGUUUACAUGCUGGGUAGGGGAGCGUUGUGUAAGUGGAUGAAGGUGAGUUGUAAAGCUUGCUGGACAUAUCACAAGUGCGAAUGCUGACAUGAGUAACGAUAAUGGGAGUGAAAAACUCCCACGCCGGAAGACCAAGGUUUCCUGUCCCAUGCUAAUCAGGGCAGGGUAAGUCGGCCCCUAAGGCGAGGCAGAAAUGCGUAGUCGAUGGGAAACGGGUUAAUAUUCCCGUACUUAUAUAAUCAGUGAUGGAGGGACGGAGAAGGCUAGGCAAGCUUGGCGUUGGUUGUCCAAGUGAAAGUGAGUAGGCUCACAGGUGGUCAGGUAGAGAAUACUAAGGCGCUUGAGAGAACUCGGGUGAAGGAACUCGGCAAAAUUGUACCGUAACUUCGGGAGAAGGUACGCCUCUGUUUGUGAACACUUCGCGUGGUAAGCAAAUGGAGGCCGCAGUGACCAGGGUUUUCGGACGAAGCUCUUGAUCGAAGCCCCGGUAAACGGCGGCCGUAACUAUAACGGUCCUAAGGUAGCGAAAUUCCUUGUCGGGUAAGUUCCGACCUGCACGAAUGGUGUAACCAUGGCCACGCUGUCUCCACCCGAGACUCAGUGAAAUUGAAAUCGCAGUGAAGAUGCUGUGUACCCGCACCUAGACGGAAAGACCCCGUGAACCUUUACUACAGCUUGGCACUGAACAUUGAACCUACAUGUGUAGGAUAGGUGGGAGGCUUUGAAGCACAGUCGCUAGAUUGUGUGGAGCCGUCCUUGAAAUACCACCCUUGUAUGUUUGAUGUUCUAACAUUGUUCCCUUAUCGGGAAUGUGGACAGUGUCUGGUGGGUAGUUUGACUGGGGCGGUCUCCUCCCAAAUAGUAACGGAGGAGCACGAAGGUUAGCUAAUCACGGUCGGACAUCGUGAGGUUAGUGCAAUGGCAUAAGCUAGCUUAACUGCGAGACAGACACGUCGAGCAGGUACGAAAGUAGGUCAUAGUGAUCCGGUGGUUCUGUAUGGAAGGGCCAUCGCUCAACGGAUAAAAGGUACUCCGGGGAUAACAGGCUGAUACCGCCCAAGAGUUCAUAUCGACGGCGGUGUUUGGCACCUCGAUGUCGGCUCAUCACAUCCUGGGGCUGAAGUCGGUCCCAAGGGUAUGGCUGUUCGCCAUUUAAAGUGGUACGCGAGCUGGGUUUAGAACGUCGUGAGACAGUUCGGUCCCUAUCUGGUGUGGGCGUUGGAUGAUUGAUGGGAGCUGCUCCUAGUACGAGAGGACCGGAGUGGACGAACCGCUGGUGUUCGGGUUGUCAUGCCAAUGGCAUUGCCCGGUAGCUAUGUUCGGAACGGAUAACCGCUGAAAGCAUCUAAGCGGGAAGCCGGCCCAAAGAUGAGUCAUCCCUGACCUUUAAGGUCUGGAAGGGUUGUUAUAGACGAUGACGUUGAUAGGCAGGGUGUGGAAGCGUUGUAAGGCGUUAAGCUAACCUGUACUAAUUGCCCGAGAGGCUUAACCAU